RNAcentral lists this ribosomal RNA (1068 nucleotides) under Campylobacter coli. Its description in RNAcentral is "bacterial SSU rRNA". It matches the Rfam family "Bacterial small subunit ribosomal RNA", at positions 211 to 1294 of the family's 1533-position model. The record is from RNAcentral. Lineage: Bacteria; Pseudomonadati; Campylobacterota; Epsilonproteobacteria; Campylobacterales; Campylobacteraceae.
UUUUUCGGUGUAGGAUGAGACUAUAUAGUAUCAGCUAGUUGGUAAGGUAAUGGCUUACCAAGGCUAUGACGCUUAACUGGUCUGAGAGGAUGAUCAGUCACACUGGAACUGAGACACGGUCCAGACUCCUACGGGAGGCAGCAGUAGGGAAUAUUGCGCAAUGGGGGAAACCCUGACGCAGCAACGCCGCGUGGAGGAUGACACUUUUCGGAGCGUAAACUCCUUUUCUUAGGGAAGAAUUCUGACGGUACCUAAGGAAUAAGCACCGGCUAACUCCGUGCCAGCAGCCGCGGUAAUACGGAGGGUGCAAGCGUUACUCGGAAUCACUGGGCGUAAAGGGCGCGUAGGCGGAUUAUCAAGUCUCUUGUGAAAUCUAAUGGCUUAACCAUUAAACUGCUUGGGAAACUGAUAGUCUAGAGUGAGGGAGAGGCAGAUGGAAUUGGUGGUGUAGGGGUAAAAUCCGUAGAUAUCACCAAGAAUACCCAUUGCGAAGGCGAUCUGCUGGAACUCAACUGACGCUAAGGCGAGAAAGCGUGGGGAGCAAACAGGAUUAGAUACCCUGGUAGUCCACGCCCUAAACGAUGUACACUAGUUGUUGGGGUGCUAGUCAUCUCAGUAAUGCAGCUAACGCAUUAAGUGUACCGCCUGGGGAGUACGGUCGCAAGAUUAAAACUCAAAGGAAUAGACGGGGACCCGCACAAGCGGUGGAGCAUGUGGUUUAAUUCGAAGAUACGCGAAGAACCUUACCUGGGCUUGAUAUCCUAAGAACCUUUUAGAGAUAAGAGGGUGCUAGCUUGCUAGAACUUAGAGACAGGUGCUGCACGGCUGUCGUCAGCUCGUGUCGUGAGAUGUUGGGUUAAGUCCCGCAACGAGCGCAACCCACGUAUUUAGUUGCUAACGGUUCGGCCGAGCACUCUAAAUAGACUGCCUUCGUAAGGAGGAGGAAGGUGUGGACGACGUCAAGUCAUCAUGGCCCUUAUGCCCAGGGCGACACACGUGCUACAAUGGCAUAUACAAUGAGACGCAAUACCGCGAGGUGGAGCAAAUCUAUAAAAUAUGUCCCAGUUC